CAACUAGUCAAAGAUGGAGGCUGGAGCUGGAAGGCCAUGAGGUUUGUACUGGAGGAUUUUCCCAGAUUUUUAUUGAUUAGAAACUGAAGCUGAAAUACAGCCGGCUCUGCCCAGGACCAUGGAGCCAAGCCCCCAGGAGAUGGGGGGAGAGAGCUGGACAGUUCUUGCUGCCUCUUUUGCUCUUCUUUUGACAACUUUUUUUCUUCUUGGUGAGAGGAUCUGUCCCUCCCUUGGCCAGGAAUAUCCGUCACUGUUGUCAACUGUCCCUUACGGAGAAUGGCGUUGGUGGGUCUCAAUGAAGGCUGCCAUUUUUACUGUUACUUCCCAGCAGGAAGGUGAGUCCGCUGCCUUUCAGGGCCAUAUCCUGCCAUUGAUCCACAUGCAGAACUCCCGUGGAUUUAACCCAGCGUGGAACCAAGGCAGGAUAUGGGCUGACAAUUUGUGACAAAAGAAGUGCUAAUGAAGCAGAUGAGUGCAUGAGAAGGGCUGGAGCCCAUCCCAGCUGCAUGUUACAUUUGAUUAUUUACUAGAAAACAAGAUGGAGGAAAUAUAUAAGCAUUGUUCAUAUUAACAAAACCAUCCUCUUCCCUUUGCAUCUUCCCCCCUCCCCCCCUCACCUAUGCCCCUUUCACUUGGAAACCCAACCCUCAGUCUCCUCCAUUCUGUCUUCAGUCACAUCCCUCCUUAAAACACACCACACUUCCCUUCCACUAAUCCUUCCACCCGGAGUCCCCCAAAGGGAGCAGGAUGUGUUAGCAAAACUGCACUGCUCUGAGAUUUGAGUCCCCUCCCCCCACAAUCCGCCCACCCCAGGUCAUCAGAAGCCCGAUUCAGAAAGUGCUCUAAGUGCACAGCUCCUGGUCCUCCCUUGUGUGGAAAGCUUCCAUAUUCAGGGCUUGUCUCUAUCUGCCAGAUCCUUGUAUCGUGCUCAUCUCUGUAGUAUCUGCGUGGGUGACCAGCUGGAGGUAAAAAUCUCAAAGCAGCACACCUUUAAAUAAAGGCUCCUUUCUAUGAUGGGCUGCCA
This 1024-nucleotide long non-coding RNA is filed under the name Chrysemys picta bellii (western painted turtle). Its description in RNAcentral is "lncRNA (ENSCPBG00000010546.1)". Lineage: Eukaryota; Metazoa; Chordata; Testudines; Emydidae. The record is from RNAcentral.